This 1040-nucleotide ribosomal RNA is filed under the name uncultured Helotiales. Its description in RNAcentral is "eukaryotic LSU rRNA". The stretch from base 412 to 1040 matches the Rfam family "Eukaryotic large subunit ribosomal RNA", at positions 1 to 648 of the family's 3401-position model. Lineage: Eukaryota; Fungi; Ascomycota; Leotiomycetes; Helotiales. The record is from RNAcentral.
UUGGCAGGCCCGUCCAAGGACCACCGGCUUCGGCUGGUCAGCGCCUGCCAGAGGACCUAAAACUCUUGUGAUUAUUAUUGUCUGAGUACUAUAUAAUAGUUAAAACUUUCAACAACGGAUCUCUUGGUUCUGGCAUCGAUGAAGAACGCAGCGAAAUGCGAUAAGUAAUGUGAAUUGCAGAAUUCAGUGAAUCAUCGAAUCUUUGAACGCACAUUGCGCCCUCUGGUAUUCCGGGGGGCAUGCCUGUUCGAGCGUCAUUACAACCCUCAAGCUCAGCUUGGUAUUAGGCUUCACCCUUAGGGGCGGGCUUUAAAAUCAGUGGCGGUGCCAUUUGGCUUCAAGCGUAGUAAUUCUUCUCGCUUUGGAGAACCGGGUGUGUGUUUGCCAACAACCCUCAUAUUUUUUAAAGGUUGACCUCGGAUCAGGUAGGGAUACCCGCUGAACUUAAGCAUAUCAAUAAGCGGAGGAAAAGAAACCAACAGGGAUUGCCUCAGUAACGGCGAGUGAAGCGGCAACAGCUCAAAUUUGAAAUCUGGCCUUCUGGUCCGAGUUGUAAUUUGUAGAGGAUGUUUCGAACGUGGUCCGGUCUAAGUUUCUUGGAACAGAACGUCAUAGAGGGUGAGAAUCCCGUAUGCGACUGGGUGCCUAAGUUCAUGUGAAGCUCCUUCGACGAGUCGAGUUGUUUGGGAAUGCAGCUCAAAAUGGGUGGUAAAUUUCAUCUAAAGCUAAAUAUUGGCCAGAGACCGAUAGCGCACAAGUAGAGUGAUCGAAAGAUGAAAAGCACUUUGGAAAGAGGGUUAAACAGUACGUGAAAUUGUUGAAAGGGAAGCGCUUGCAACCAGACUUGCAUGCAGUUGAUCAUCCGAUGUUCUCACCGGUGCACUCGAUUGUAUUCAGGCCAGCAUCGGUUUUGGUGGUUAGAUAAAGGCCUUGGGAAUGUAGCUUCUUUCGGGGAGUGUUAUAGCCCUCGGUGCAAUGUAGCCUACCGGGACCGAGGACCGCGCUUCGGCUAGGAUGCUGGCGUAAUGGUUGUAAGCGAC